RNAcentral lists this ribosomal RNA (305 nucleotides) under uncultured bacterium. Its description in RNAcentral is "bacterial SSU rRNA". It matches the Rfam family "Bacterial small subunit ribosomal RNA", at positions 334 to 653 of the family's 1533-position model. The record is from RNAcentral.
UUCGCCUACGGGAGGCAGCAGUGGGGGAUAUUGCACAAUGGGGGAAACCCUGAUGCAGCGACGCCGCGUGGGUGAAGAAGCGCCUCGGCGCGUAAAGCUCUAUCAGCAGGGAAGAAAGAAAUGACGGUACCUGAGUAAGAAGCCCCGGCUAACUACGUGCCAGCAGCCGCGGUAAUACGUAGGGGGCAAGCGUUAUCCGGAAUUACUGGGUGUAAAGGGAGCGUAGACGGUAAUGCAAGUCUGGAGUGAAAGGCGGGGGCCCACCCCCCGGACUGCUCUGGAAACUGUGUAACUGGAGUGCAGGA